This 492-nucleotide ribosomal RNA is filed under the name uncultured bacterium. Its description in RNAcentral is "partial 16S ribosomal RNA". It matches the Rfam family "Bacterial small subunit ribosomal RNA", at positions 29 to 507 of the family's 1533-position model. The record is from RNAcentral.
AGUGAACGCUGGCGGUAGGCCUAACACAUGCAAGUCGAACGGCAGCACAGUAAUAGCUUGCUCUUACGGGUGGCGAGUGGCGGACGGGUGAGGAAUACAUCGGAAUCUACUUUUUCGGGGGGGAUAACGUAGGGAAACUUACGCUAAUACCGCAUACGACCUACGGGUGAAAGCAGGGGAUCUUCGGACCUUGCGCGAUUGAAGGAGCCGAUGUCGGAUUAGCUAGUUGGCGGGGUAAAGGCCCACCAAGGCGACGAUCCGUAGCUGGUCUGAGAGGAUGAUCAGCCACACUGGAACUGAGACACGGUCCAGACUCCUACGGGAGGCAGCAGUGGGGAAUAUUGGACAAUGGGCGCAAGCCUGAUCCAGCCAUACCGCGUGGGUGAAGAAGGCCUUCGGGUUGUAAAGCCCUUUUGUUGGGAAAGAAAAGCAGCAGGUUAAUACCCCGCUGUUCUGACGGUACCCAAAGAAUAAGCACCGGCUAACUUCGUG